Molecule: ribosomal RNA, 549 nt
Filed under: uncultured bacterium
Lineage: Bacteria
Description: bacterial SSU rRNA
Rfam family: Bacterial small subunit ribosomal RNA
Source: RNAcentral
UGGGGAGUAUUGGACAAUGGGCGAAAGCCUGAUCCAGCCAUGCCGCGUGUGUGAAGAAGGCCUUUUGGUUGUAAAGCACUUUAAGUGGGGAGGAAAAGCUUAUGGUUAAUACCCAUAAGCCCUGACGUUACCCACAGAAUAAGCACCGGCUAACUCUGUGCCAGCAGCCGCGGUAAUACAGAGGGUGCAAGCGUUAAUCGGAAUUACUGGGCGUAAAGCGCGCGUAGGUGGUUAUUUAAGUCAGAUGUGAAAGCCCCGGGCUUAACCUGGGAACUGCAUCUGAUACUGGAUAACUAGAGUAGGUGAGAGGGGAGUAGAAUUCCAGGUGUAGCGGUGAAAUGCGUAGAGAUCUGGAGGAAUACCGAUGGCGAAGGCAGCUCCCUGGCAUCAUACUGACACUGAGGUGCGAAAGCGUGGGUAGCAAACAGGAUUAGAUACCCUGGUAGUCCACGCCGUAAACGAUGUCUACCAGUCGUUGGGUCUUUUAAAGACUUAGUGACGCAGUUAACGCAAUAAGUAGACCGCCUGGGGAGUACGGCCGCAAGGUUA